RNAcentral lists this ribosomal RNA (550 nucleotides) under fungal sp. RNAcentral's name for it is "eukaryotic LSU rRNA". The stretch from base 186 to 339 matches the Rfam family "5.8S ribosomal RNA". Lineage: Eukaryota; Fungi. The record is from RNAcentral.
GGUAAGAGCUGGCAACUCCCUAACCAUCGUGACGUUACCCAAAACCCGUUGCUUCGGCGGGCGGCUCCGGGCCCAGCCCGGCGCCCCUCGGCCCCCCCCCCAACAGCGGGCGGGGCGCCCGCCGGAGGAAACCAAACUCUUCUGAUAUCUUGGCCACUCUGAGUCUUCUGUACUGAAUAAGUCAAAACUUUCAACAACGGAUCUCUUGGUUCUGGCAUCGAUGAAAAACGCAGCGAAAUGCGAUAAGUAAUGUGAAUUGCAAAAUUCAGUGAAUCAUCGAAUCUUUGAACGCACAUUGCGCCCGCCAGUAUUCUGGCGGGCAUGCCUGUUCGAGCGUCAUUUCAACCAUCAAGCCCCGGGCUUGUGUUGGGGACCUGCGGCUGCCGCAGGCCCUGAAAAGCAGUGGCGGGCUCGCUGUCACACCGAGCGUAGUAAAUCUCAUCUCGCUCAGGGCGUGCUGCGGGUUCCGGCCGUAAAACAGCCUCAUAAGCACCCAAGGUUGACCUCGGAUCAGGUAGGAAGACCCGCUGAACUUAAGCAUAUCAUAGUC